RNAcentral lists this ribosomal RNA (253 nucleotides) under uncultured bacterium. Its description in RNAcentral is "partial 16S ribosomal RNA". It matches the Rfam family "Bacterial small subunit ribosomal RNA", at positions 524 to 776 of the family's 1533-position model. The record is from RNAcentral.
GACGAAGGGGGCUAGCGUUGUUCGGAAUUACUGGGCGUAAAGCGAGUGUAGGUGGUUGUCCAAGUUGGAUGUGAAAGCCUUGAGCUCAACUCAAGAAAUGCAUUCAGGACUGGAUGGCUAGAGGACCGGAGAGGAUUGUGGAAUUCCCAGUGUAGUGGUGAAAUACGUAGAGAUUGGGAAGAACACCAGUGGCGAAGGCGGCUAUCUGGACGGUUUCUGACACUAAGACUCGAAAGCGUGGGGAGCAAACAGG